AUGCGUUCGGCCGAAAUCGCGCUGUACGCGACGACGCACAGGAUGCGUCACACUUUCCAGAGGACCCGUAGAUAGGCUUUGUACGCGGGUGGUCUUGCGCCACGAUGCCGGAGUUGGGUGCCGGAGUCACAUCAAGGUCGCAAGAUCGAAACCCAUCAGGAACGGUUCGGCUCCGUUACCUGUGUAGGCACUGAACAUACUUGUGCCGAACUUCCCCGAAAGAGUGCCAUCUCGGCCUUCCUAGGUCGCUGCUCUACGGGUGAGGACGCUGGUGCGGCGGGUUCUGAUGGUUUCCCCGCGAGAGCUAUCCUGCUUUCUAGAAGCCGGUCUGCGAGCCAGUUGGCGCUGAUGCGCCGGGGCAGGAGGAGGCCCCUGAUUAGGGAAUGUGCGUCACCCAGCGCCGAUCUGCGAGCCCGUGUUUCGAGGCGUUACCGUGGCCCAGUAUGGCCGAUGGUUGCAGACAACCCCCCUCCCCCAAAUUCGCUAGCCCGCCCGUGGGCUUUGUACGCGGGUGGUCUUGCGCCACGAUGCCGGAGUUGGGUGCCGGAGUCACAUCAAGGUCGCAAGAUCGAAACCCAUCGGGAACGGUUCGGCUCCGUUACCUGUGUAGGCACUGAACAUACUUGUGCCGAACUUCCCCAAACGAGCGCCAUCUCGGCCUUCCUAGGUCGCUGCUCUACGGGUGCGGACGCUGGUGCGGCGGGUUCUGAUGGUUUCCCCGCGAGAGCUAUCCUGCUUACUAGAAGCCGGUCUGCAAGCCAGUUGGCGCUGAUGCGCCGGGGCAGGAGGAGGCCCCUGAAUAGGGAAUGUGCGUCACCCAGCGCCGAUCUGCGAGCCCGUGUUUCGAGGCGUUACCGUGGCCCAGUAUGGCCGAUGGUUGCAGACAACCCCCCUCCCCCACAUACCUAACCCGCCCGUGGGCUUUGUACGCGGGUGGUCUUGCGCCACGAUGCCGGAGUUGGGUGCCGGAGUCACAUCAAGGUCGCAAGAUCGAAACCCAUCAGGAACGGUUCGGCUCCGUUACCUGUGUAGGCACUGAACAUACUUGUGCCGAACUUCCCCGAAAGAGUGCCAUCUCGGCCUUCCUAGGUCGCUGCUCUACGGGUGAGGACGCUGGUGCGGCGGGUUCUGAUGGUUUCCCCGCGAGAGCUAUCCUGCUUUCUAGAAGCCGGUCUGCGAGCCAGUUGGCGCUGAUGCGUCGGGGCAGGAGGAGGCCCCUGAUUAGGGAAUGCGCGUCACCCAGCGCCGAUCUGCGAGCCCGUGUUUCGAGGCGUUACCGUGGCCCAGUAUGGCCGAUGGUUGCAGACAACCCCCCUCCCCCAAAUUCGCUAACCUGGGUGAACCGGGGCACGCUGCAGCGGGAGCCAGGACCGGCGUCUUCCGGGCGGC
This 1389-nucleotide long non-coding RNA is filed under the name Chlamydomonas reinhardtii. RNAcentral's name for it is "long non-coding RNA (CREI_LNC000955)". Lineage: Eukaryota; Viridiplantae; Chlorophyta; Chlorophyceae; Chlamydomonadales; Chlamydomonadaceae. The record is from RNAcentral.